RNAcentral lists this ribosomal RNA (388 nucleotides) under uncultured Legionella sp. RNAcentral's name for it is "bacterial SSU rRNA". It matches the Rfam family "Bacterial small subunit ribosomal RNA", at positions 441 to 826 of the family's 1533-position model. Lineage: Bacteria; Pseudomonadati; Pseudomonadota; Gammaproteobacteria; Legionellales; Legionellaceae. The record is from RNAcentral.
AGGGUUGAUAGGUUAAGAGCUGGUUGAUUGGACGUUACCCACAGAAGAAGCACCGGCUAACUCCGUGCCAGCAGCCGCGGUAAUACGGAGGGUGCGAGCGUUAAUCGGAAUUACUGGGCGUAAAGGGUGCGUAGGUGGUUUAAUAAGUUAGCUGUGAAAUCCCCGGGCUUAACCUGGGCAGGUCAGCUAAGACUGUUAGACUCGAGUAUGGGAGAGGGUAGUGGAAUUUCCGGUGUAGCGGUGAAAUGCGUAGAGAUCGGAAGGAACACCAGUGGCGAAGGCGGCUACCUGGCCUGAUACUGACACUGAGGCACGAAAGCGUGGGGAGCAAACAGGAUUAGGAUACCCUGGUAGUCCACCGCUGUAAACGAUGUCAACUAGCUGUUGG